This is a long non-coding RNA of Bombus terrestris (buff-tailed bumblebee), 1232 nucleotides long. RefSeq lists it as uncharacterized. The transcript has 3 exons. Lineage: Eukaryota; Metazoa; Arthropoda; Insecta; Hymenoptera; Apidae. The record is from RefSeq and is a predicted model, not a curated record.
GACGCAUGCGUACCUGCCUCGGCCCUGACUGCACCGCAGGGUGGUUCAAUGUUACGGGAGGGCACUGACCCGAGCCGGAGAAUCCACCCAUCGGUGCACCGAGGUGGCUACACCCCUGGUAUACGUAGGAGCCCGCCGGUCCCUGCAACCAGCCCUCCGACGAUUCACUCUCCUCCAGCUUCUCUCCCUCGUCCCCGGACACCUCUCUCUUCCACCCUCGUUUGGUGUUGCUCUAUACCCAGCACCGUCGACAUCGACUGAUUCUGUGCUACCACCACUACCAUCGCCGCGCCGCCACCACCACGUCAGCCCGGUAUCGGCACCGAUAUCGGCGUAGCUACCGUCGACGAGGGUACGGAGCAGCAUCGUGGCCCGGGAUAACCAUUAUCCACCUCUCACAAAUCACCUGGACCCACCGUUUACCACGGCAUGGCUCGUCUUUGCCGUGCUAUGAUUUGAUGCAUGGCGCGUGGGCCUUCCGCGACCGAUAAAGCCUCUGGUUUGGACCUGGCCCGAAUGGCAACUGCAAAGGUGGCUGGUAAAUGGAACGGGUCCACGUGCUCCGGCUAGUCGUCUGGAAAGUCGAUUAUUAUUCAUUGAGUUACGGCCCUGUGCACGAGGGUCGCCACUUUGUAGAGUAGCAAUUGUACGGACGGAUGACGCUCACCGAAAUGUUCGAACCGCUCCGCGCUCCAACGUCUGCAGUGCUUUCACAACGCAUCCACCUAAUCGGCAGAUUAAGAUCUCAGAGUGGCGCAGUAUCGGUCGCAACGCGGUGGUCCACGCGGGUUCUUCAACCCCUCGGGUCGCUACCCUCUCGGAAUCGUUCGUGGUCGACCCUGAAAACGGCUGUCGCUUUUUGUCGGUCUAACUCGAAAGAAAAGCAUGCGCGAAAAUAAAACUGCGUGACGUAGAAUCGUUCUUGGGAAAAGUAGGUCUCGCUUUGUGGCGUUGCUUUUUCCACCAAAGGGGAAUAGUAGAAAGAGUCGUUGGUUUUUCGAUUAAAUGACAUCCUGUUCGUGCCGCAAUCAAAACUUCGCGUCAAAAUGGCAUAAAAGUCUAGGAAACCUAAGCGUAAAAAUUUUUCAUUCACGAUUCAGACUAUUUUAUUUUGUAGAAUUCUAUCUUUAUCAGAAGCUUCGAAAGUUAUGUUUACAAAUUAGAUUUUCAAAUUUGUUUGCAAUAUUAAUUAUCUAUAAUAAUAAUAAAUUGGUAAAAUUUGAAACGAACCU